GGCCCGCCGAGGGGCGGCCCGAGCGCGGCCCCGCUCUGCUGCCGUCCGCCUGCCGGGCAGACGGCGGCGGCGCGGCGGGGCGCGAUGGCGGCCGGGCUGGGGCCGUGGCUGCUGGCCUUGGCCUUGGGGCCGGCAGGAGUGUGUGCACAGUGGAGACUGAAGGAAUCUGGCGGAGGUGUGCGAGCAGCUGGGGAGUCCGUGCAGCUCUCCUGCCAGGGAUCCGGCUUCAGCUUUGGAAGUUAUGCUGUACAGUGGUACCGUCAGGCACUCAGUGAUCAUCUCAAGUGGCUGUCCUUCAUCAGCACAGGCUCAGAUGUUCUAUCCAGCCCAGAGUUGGAGGGUCGAUCAUCAGUCUCUCGAGACAAUUCCAGAUCUGUGUCCUAUUUGUCUCUCCGUGCCCUGCGCCCACACGACUCAGCACGUUACUUCUGUGCGGUAGACACGAGAGCAGGAAAUCCUGCAGAGCUCUAACAAAAAUCCCUUUCCUGGACACGGUCAUGGUUGCAGAACCACAGUGCUGGCAGGAGCUGGAGCGGCUCUGGGCUGCUCCUGAACAGUGAGGUGAUGUCGCAGGUGACCCUGUUGUUUCUGCAAGGUCUCCUUUCACUUCAUCACUCCUUUCAUUCUCCUGAGUCACAAAAGGAGACAGAUACUGUGGGAGUGGCCCUGACAGCCCUGAGUAGGAGCGUGAGAGCUGCACUGCUGCUGCAAUUUGGCAGUAGCAAAACCAUCUGCAACUCGAGACGGGAUUGGGAAAGCAAAGGCACAUAUGGAACUGAAGCUGGAAUUAAUUCUAAAUACUGUAAGAAGGGAUUGUACUGGUGCCUAGGUCAGAAGAGUCAGGCCUAAGAGAUUGUACCUCCCCUGCUAAAUGAGAGUGGAGAACAGGCUAGAACAUAUAUAGGGAAGGCUGAGGCACUCAAUGAGUUCUUUGCCUCAGUCUUCACUGGCAGCCAGGAUUCUCCCACCCCUGAACCUCACAUCCCUACACCUGAUGCCAUCUGCAGGGUAUUUGAUCAACUGGAAAUUCUGGCGUUGAGAACCUAAUGAGAUUCAACAUAGCAAAGUGUGUGGUUUUCCGCUUGGGUCAAGCCAAACCCAAAUAUGUAUACAAGCUGGGAGAACUUGAGAGUAGCCCUGCUGGGAAUGACUUAGAGGUUCUUGUUGAUGAAAAACUGAAUAUGAGCCAGCUGUGCACACUCGCAGCCUGGAAGGCUGAUGGUAUCCUGAGUUCCAUCAGAAGAGGGGUGGCCAUCAGGGCAAGGUAGAUGAUUGUGCCCAUCUGUUCUGCCCUCCUGAGUCUCCAUCUGGAGUACUGUGUCCCAGCCUGGAGCCUCCAACACAGGAAGAUUGUGGAGGUUUUGGAGGGGGCUGAGACGCGCAAGAAAGGUGAUCCAAGGGCAGGAGGGACUGUGCUAUGAAAACAGACUGAAGGAACUCGUCUCACUCAGCCUGGAAAAGUGAGAAGACUGUGGGGAGACCUCAUUGCAGCCUUCCAGUAUUUCAGGGGAGUUAAUAAAUGUGAGGGAAAUCAACU
Phasianus colchicus (ring-necked pheasant) is the source of this 1537-nucleotide non-coding RNA. The record is from the annotation of a RefSeq genome assembly. NCBI's taxonomy places the organism in Eukaryota, Metazoa, Chordata, Aves, Galliformes, Phasianidae.